CGCAUCUGUGCAUGCAGCAUAUCAAUAAGCGGAGGAAAAGAAACUAACAAGGAUUCCCCUAGUAACGGCGAGUGAAGCGGGAAGAGCUCAAAUUUGAAAUCUUAAAGGGUUUCCCUUUACGAAUUGUAGUUUAAAGAAGUGUUUUCUGUUGAGGUUUUGGUAAAAGUUCUUUGGAAUAGGACAUCAUAGAGGGUGAGAAUCCCGUAUUUGACCUUUACUUUCAACUUUGUGAUACACUUUCAAAGAGUCGGAUUGUUUGGGAAUGCAGUCCAAAAUGGGUGGUAAAUUUCAUCUAAAGCUAAAUAUUGGCGAGAGACCGAUAGCGAACAAGUACCGUGAGGGAAAGAUGAAAAGAACUUUGAAAAGAGAGUUAAACAGUACGUGAAAUUGUCAAAAGGGAAGCGUUUGACACCAGUGUUGUUUUUCUGAAAAUCAAUUAAAGAACUGUUUAUGCUAAGUUGUUUAGACUUUAUCAGCUAUCUGCUUAGUUUUGAGCUUUUCUUUAAUGCACUUUUCAGUUAACAAGUCAACAUCAAUUUCUUUUGCUGUAAAAAAGCUUGAGGAAGGUGGCUUGAGAUUCGUCUUAAGUGUUUAUAGCCUCUUGCCUAUGCAGUCGGAGAGAUUGAGGUCUGCAGCGUAGAUCCUUCGGGGCUAAAUGCAUUUGUGCUAAGUUAUAGCAUUUUAUAGACAACUUGUUGACUAUGAUUUGUCUUGUAGCUUACUCGCUUAUGUUAUUUUACCUACGCUUAGGAUGUUGAAUCUGUGCGAGACUA
RNAcentral lists this ribosomal RNA (773 nucleotides) under uncultured Neocallimastigales. Its description in RNAcentral is "partial large subunit ribosomal RNA". It matches the Rfam family "Eukaryotic large subunit ribosomal RNA", at positions 26 to 643 of the family's 3401-position model. The record is from RNAcentral. Lineage: Eukaryota; Fungi; Neocallimastigomycota; Neocallimastigomycetes; Neocallimastigales.